Molecule: non-coding RNA, 119 nt
Organism: Triticum aestivum (bread wheat)
Lineage: Eukaryota; Viridiplantae; Streptophyta; Magnoliopsida; Poales; Poaceae
Source: Rfam
GGAUACGAUCAUACAAGCACUAAGGCAUCGGAUCCCAUCAGAACUCCGAAGUGAAGCGUGCUUGGGCGAGAUUAGUACUAGGAUGGGUGACCUCCUCGGAAGUCCUCGUGUUGCAUUCC